This 497-nucleotide ribosomal RNA is filed under the name uncultured bacterium. RNAcentral's name for it is "partial 16S ribosomal RNA". It matches the Rfam family "Bacterial small subunit ribosomal RNA", at positions 28 to 507 of the family's 1533-position model. The record is from RNAcentral.
GAUGAACGCUGGCGGCGUGCCUAAUACAUGCAAGUCGAGCGAACAGACGAGGAGCUUGCUCCUCUGACGUUAGCGGCGGACGGGUGAGUAACACGUGGAUAACCUACCUAUAAGACUGGGAUAACUUCGGGAAACCGGAGCUAAUACCGGAUAAUAUAUUGAACCGCAUGGUUCAAUAGUGAAAGACGGUUUUGCUGUCACUUAUAGAUGGAUCCGCGCCGCAUUAGCUAGUUGGUAAGGUAACGGCUUACCAAGGCAACGAUGCGUAGCCGACCUGAGAGGGUGAUCGGCCAAACUGGAACUGAGACACGGUCCAGACUCCUAAGGGAGGCAGCAGUAGGGAAUCUUCCGCAAUGGGCGAAAGCCUGACGGAGCAAAGCCGCGUGAGUGAUGAAGGUCUUCGGAUCGUAAAACUCUGUUAUUAGGGAAGAACAAAUGUGUAAGUAACUAUGCACGUCUUGACGGUAACUAAUCAGAAAGCCACGGCUAACUACGUG